UCUGCCGCGGCCGGGAAGUUCGAACAGAAGUCUGGGGAAGAGCCGGCGAAGAGCAAAGAGAUAAUACAGUACUCCCAGCUAUAGCAAGCGGCAGUUAUGGAGCAUGCGCAGCAGCAGGGGCGGCCGCAGGUCGCCGUUCAAUAAUACUCAAGGGAUUUGUACAGCCCUGUAGGAGACACCUCCAGAGAAAGUAACAGCUCUCAAUUGAUUAGCUGAGAAGCCUCAGGGGCUGGAUCCUGACAUGAACCAGACACCUCCAGAAUUCUAUCCCAAGCAAAAGAUUAUUUCAAGGCCAGAACUCACUCCCUGCUGGAGACUGACUACAAGAUCCACUGAGAUUGAUGUGUAACCUGAUUGGGCCCACAGUGAUGCUAGCCCCUUCACCAGAUGGAACAAUAAUUCCAGACAAGCCAUCAGAGCAGGUCACACCACUUGACACCUUCUCGCCCCCUUGCCUCUCCUGCAUUCCAAACCCCUCUCUUUAAAAUCCCCAUGUUCCCUCCGUAAACUGGGCAGUGCCAAUUGUUGGAAAGAAUUCUGGCACUCUUUUCCUUCUUAGCAUGGAUAAAAAGAUUCACCCUCUUUUUAUCACACCUCACUCUUGUUAUUUUGGCUUCUUUCUACAAGUGGUGAGCAACCGGGCCCCCUUUGCUGGUUAUAGUAUGAACUAUUUUAUUUUUUUUAAUCUACAAUAAAAUAAAAUACAUUCAUUAGA
RNAcentral lists this long non-coding RNA (715 nucleotides) under Homo sapiens (human). RNAcentral describes it as "HSALNT0308269". Lineage: Eukaryota; Metazoa; Chordata; Mammalia; Primates; Hominidae. The record is from RNAcentral.